GAACGAGAAAGUGGAGCAAUCCAUGAGUAAAGUGGCGACCGGGUGAGUAACACGUGACUAACCUACCUCCGAAUGGGGAAUAACUCCGGGAAACCGGGGCUAAUACCGCAUAACACCGCAAGGUCAAAGCAGCAAUGCGUUUGGAGAGGGGGUCGCGGCCGAUUAGCUAGUUGGCGGGGUAACGGCCCACCAAGGCAAUGAUCGGUAGCCGGCCUGAGAGGGCGCACGGCCACACUGGAACUGAAACACGGUCCAGACUCCUACGGGAGGCAGCAGUGGGGAAUUUUGCGCAAUGGGGGAAACCCUGACGCAGCAACGCCGCGUGGAGGAUGAAGCCCUUUGGGGCGUAAACUCCUUUCGAUCGGGACGAUUAUGACGGUACCGGAUGAAGAAGCACCGGCUAACUCUGUG
RNAcentral lists this ribosomal RNA (411 nucleotides) under uncultured bacterium. RNAcentral describes it as "bacterial SSU rRNA". It matches the Rfam family "Bacterial small subunit ribosomal RNA", at positions 64 to 507 of the family's 1533-position model. The record is from RNAcentral.